RNAcentral lists this ribosomal RNA (253 nucleotides) under uncultured bacterium. RNAcentral's name for it is "partial 16S ribosomal RNA". It matches the Rfam family "Bacterial small subunit ribosomal RNA", at positions 524 to 776 of the family's 1533-position model. The record is from RNAcentral.
UACGUAGGUGGCGAGCGUUGUCCGGAUUUACUGGGCGUAAAGAGCGCGCAGGCGGCUGGUCAAGUCCGAUGUGAAAGCCCCCGGCUCAACUGGGGAGGGUCACGCGAUACUGUUCGACUCGAAGGCAGGAGAGGGAAGUGGAAUUCCCGGUGUAGUGGUGAAAUGCGUAGAUAUCGGGAGGAACACCAGUGGCGAAGGCGACUUCCUGGCCUGUUCUUGACGCUGAGGCGCGAAAGCUAGGGUAGCAAACGGG